ACACAUGCAAGUCGAACGAGGUAUUUUGAUUGAAGUUUUCGGAUGGAUUUCAAGAUACCGAGUGGCGGACGGGUGAGUAACGCGUGGGUAACCUGCCUCAUACAGGGGGAUAACGGUUAGAAAUGACUGCUAAUACCGCAUAAGCGCACAGUACCGCAUGGUACGGUGUGAAAAACUCCGGUGGUAUGAGAUGGACCCGCGUCUGAUUAGCUAGUUGGUGGGGUAACGGCCCACCAAGGCGACGAUCAGUAGCCGACCUGAGAGGGUGACCGGCCACAUUGGGACUGAGACACGGCCCAGACUCCUACGGGAGGCAGCAGUGGGGGAUAUUGCACAAUGGAGGAAACUCUGAUGCAGCGACGCCGCGUGAGUGAAGAAGUAUUUCGGUAUGUAAAGCUCUAUCAGCAGGGAAGAAAAUGACGGUACCUGACUAAGAAGCCCCGGCUAACUACGUGCCAGCAGCCGCGGUAAUACGUAGGGGGCAAGCGUUAUCCGGAUUUACUGGGUGUAAAGGGAGCGUAGACGGCGACGCAAGUCUGAAGUGAAAUACCCGGGCUCAACCUGGGAACUGCUUUGGAAACUGUGUUGCUAGAGUGCUGGAGAGGUAAGCGGAAUUCCUAGUGUAGCGGUGAAAUGCGUAGAUAUUAGGAAGAACACCAGUGGCGAAGGCGGCUUACUGGACAGUAACUGACGUCGAGGCUCGAAAGCGUGGGG
This 714-nucleotide ribosomal RNA is filed under the name uncultured bacterium. RNAcentral describes it as "bacterial SSU rRNA". It matches the Rfam family "Bacterial small subunit ribosomal RNA", at positions 51 to 766 of the family's 1533-position model. The record is from RNAcentral.